Long non-coding RNA from Rosa chinensis, 155 nucleotides. RefSeq lists it as uncharacterized. NCBI's taxonomy places the organism in Eukaryota, Viridiplantae, Streptophyta, Magnoliopsida, Rosales, Rosaceae. The transcript is spliced from 3 exons. The record is from RefSeq and is a predicted model, not a curated record.
CUUCAGUUUCUCCGUUCCUUAUCAUAUUACAGUAUGCAACUGGAAUUUUUUUUAGUGCUUUUGUUGCGGUUUAGAGAAAGUCUCAAGGGUGAAAUAUGCAUCUUCUUUCCUUUGAUAGUUCUCCGGUCCCUGGAUGGCUUGGAUUUACCUAUGAA